Alligator sinensis (Chinese alligator) is the source of this 247-nucleotide long non-coding RNA. RefSeq lists it as uncharacterized. The record is from RefSeq and is a predicted model, not a curated record. The transcript is spliced from 3 exons. NCBI's taxonomy places the organism in Eukaryota, Metazoa, Chordata, Crocodylia, Alligatoridae.
GGAGCAGCAGCUCCAAGCCCUAGAGAGGGAGAAGGCGGAUUUGGCCCCACGGCUGCAAGACGUGCUGUCCCGAUCCCCCACCAAAGAUGCGGAGACCCGGAGCCCGAAGAGGGAUGUGGACAAGGUUUCCCAGCAGCUCGUGGAGACCCAUGAGGAGGGGGAGACCUCGGGGCAGCUGAGAGCCCUGGAGAAGCAGCUGGAGGCAACCAGGAAGGAGCGAGACGAAGCCUUGAAGGUGGGAGACGGG